CUUUCUUAUGUUUUACUGUCAUGAGUGUGAGUUUUACAGGUAGAAAAGUGGCAAGCACUUCACUUCGAAGUUAUAUUGUGAGAAGAAAGGGGUGCAGGAGAGGAGCAAGAACAGAAGGCCACAGUUAGCAGGGUGGGUUGGAAGUCCUGAUUGGUGUGUUUGGCCUCAGGAAAGUUCUUUGGCAGCCUCCACAGACAGGUUUGGUUUUUUAAAGUGCCAAAGAGCCACAAAUUUGCAUGUUAUUUGCGUUCCAGGCUUCACUUCCAGGUAUAUGGGAUGAAAUAAAUGAAUGAACAGUAUUCAGACUCCUGGGUAAGGGGUGGACUCAGAAAUCCAGACCACACCGAGGAUCCAAUCACUGGUCCAGCUUGGAUCGGGAGACACAGGCACAGACAGAGACAGAGCAAACAGCCACAGAGACAGGGGGACAGAGAGACAAACACCAUCAAGUCCUUUUUACCAGGGAGUUUCCAGUCAAAGCAAGAAAGCAAGAUCCACAGUUUAUUUUAAAUAAGUCAACUUUUUAAAAAUUAGGAAGAAUCAUAUAGAUAGGCAGAUAAAGGCAACAUUAUCCCUGACUUACCUCCACCUUUGCCCCUUCAUCCUCUACUUCUAGUUCUGUAUGGAACUACAUGCCUAUGAGUCUGCCUUCUUGAUAAGGUAUAUUGCUUGGUGUUUGCUUAGCUUCCUAAAUUAGUUAACUAUAAGGUCUACAGACUCUAAUACAGACUCUAAGAUCCUGAGGACAAGGUCAGCAGGCUAUAAAAACCUGAGAACAAGGUGGCUUUUAUUUCCAUAGUCAAACCAUCUUUUCACUCCACCCUUCAGGGCGACUAAGGCCAGUGCUUAAACACGUGCUUGUAAAACACCUAGCCUGAGGGGCUUCCUCAGAGUCUCAGUCUAUGAGGGAUGCACAAUAUCACCGGAAAUAAAAAGGAUGGAGGAAACUAUUUAACAGAAAGCUGUGUAGAGAAAAUACUUCCACAAGGCCCCUGGUAGAGACUGAGAACCCCCACCCACCCCAAAGAGCAUGCUAAAUGCUGAGGAAGGUGUUUUUGUUAAGGGUAGAGUGGAGCGUUAGGUUUGAGGCCAGAGAUGAACGAUUUGGGACCACAAAGGAGGUUGCAGGCUGCCAUGAGCAGUCCUCCUUUCUUCACAAUAUAUUUUUUUUAAAUUUUUGUGUUGCCCAGGCUGAUCUCGAACUCUUGGGCUCAAGGGAUCCUCCCACCUCAGCCUCCCAAUGUGCUGGGAUUACAGGUGUGAGCCACUAUGCCUGGCCCACAAUGUUGUCUUUCUAAAUAAAUGUUGAAUAAUUACCUCUACCUCAUCACUGGCAGGCCAGAAAGAAACAGCUUUUAUUCCUGGUUUGAAAAAAAAGCACCAAAUCAUUUACCUGCCCUUGGUGGCUACAUGUCUCAGUCCAUUCAUGAUGCAAAAGGUGAAUUACAAUACAAAUACCAUGUGGACUUAUAUUAUUUUCUGAUUAUAAGGGCUGCAGAUGUCCAGAUGAGAGAUAUUAAGAUCAUGUGAUCAGGGAAGGCAUCAAAGAGAUAGGAUUUGCGUACGAUUACUCAGUAGGUAUUUGUGAAAAGAAUAAAAGUAAAUUGAAUGAGGGGUCUCCAGUGGACUGGACUCUGGACUUCUUGUGUGCCACUCUCCCACACUUUUUCCUUUCCUAGCACUUGUGUUCUGCAAAGGAUAAGGCAAUCUCCAGAAGUAAGGAAUUGAUGGCUACUCCUUAGAUUGGAAUGGAGAAAAUUCUGCAGCUAAGGUCUUGUCGCCUUAACUCUAAAACCAAGCCAGUGCUAAGCCAGUGGCCUUAAAAAUUUAACUUUGAAUCUCUGCCUUGACUUCCUCUUCCCAGCAACAUUGUGGCACUUAAUACCAUUCCAGAAUCUUAGAGUUUGAUAAGACCCCUGGACACGUGGUCCAACCAUUCACAUAAUUGGAAUUAUCCCUACCAUCUCCCUGACAGGCCAAAGAGACAGCUCACAAUAACAUUUCCUCGAGGUCCCAGCUCAAAGCCUCCUAGCCACUCUUUUCUCUCCCACAAAGGAAGUAUGUGUAAGGUAUCCUUUAUUUUAACAGGUGACCAGCAUAACCCUCUGUCCCACGUUUCCUUUUCCACCUUCAAAGCUGGGAAUGGUAGUGUGUGUUCUUAGUAGACAGAUGUUAGGAGUCAGUACAGGUAAAACAAGGCCCUAGACUUAUAAUAAAGGAUGCUGGGAUGAGCCUUGUCCCUUCCCAUGGAAUUCCAAGCUGUAGAUGCAUUGCUCCUGGGCGGGAAAAUAAGGUACCCUUCCCAGUAGUUCAGCACGUGGCCUGUUUAACAAUAGGGCCUAAUAGCCUAACACCUCUUUUUCUGACUCUCUUGGGUAUGUGAACUCCCAGGGUGAAAGCAUCAUAUUCCACCUCAUGCUAGUCCAUCCAGGUGGACCAAACAAAAAGAAACCCCAGGUGUCAGUCCUCUCUCUUACUCCAGCAAGACAUAUUUAAAAGCUGGAGGGAUGGCACAGGACCAGAAACUGAAACAUUAAAAACAUUGGGGCUCUCAAGUGAACUCUUCCCCCUUUACCCACUAGAGCCACUUAAGGGCCAUGUAAAACCAGGCAGUAAUGGACAGGCUAUGAGAUGGGGUUGGUGGAAGUGCUUUUCCAGGUUAUCUCUGUUUCUACCUCAGGAUCUUGGUGCUAACAUUACUGGAUGAGGGAAAAGUACUCUUAUAUUCAACCCUAAAUAGGACUCCUGGGAGCAAUGGUGGGUCCCAGGUGACAAAUGGGAUGUAACUAGCCUCUGUGCCUCAGACCAUGUGUUUCUCAAAUGGGUAAGAAAGGUCUGUCUGAUAUUCUCUGUUCAGGGUCUCGGAGUGAUUCUUGGGAUUAUGGUUUCUGUUGAGGUCUCUAUAGCUGGCAUCUAGUGCUUAUCAUCCCUCAAAUAUUCCUUUUUUAGGGAAGGCAGGUGAAUAUGAGCAGUGGACACAGGAGAAAGGGGAACACAGGAGAAAAAAGUCUUAUUUAGUUUAAAGUAAAUUACAUAAG
Molecule: long non-coding RNA, 3038 nt
Filed under: Homo sapiens (human)
Lineage: Eukaryota; Metazoa; Chordata; Mammalia; Primates; Hominidae
Description: HSALNT0188526
Source: RNAcentral